AUUCCAGCUCCAAUAGCGUAUAUUAAAGUUGUUGCGGUUAAAAAGCUCGUAGUUGGAUUUCUGGCAGGAGUGACUGACCACAAACUCUGUUUGUGAGUUGUGUCAUUCUGGCCAUCCUUGGUAAGAUCCUUUUUGGCAUUAAGUUGUCGGGGAGGGGAUGACCAUCGUUUACUGUGAAAAAAUUAGAGUGUUUAAAGCAGGCUUAUGCCGUUGAAUAUAUUAGCAUGGAAUAAUAAGAUAGGACUUUGAGUCUAUUUUGUUGGUUUGCGAGUCAAAGUAAUGAUUAAUAGGGACAGUUGGGGGUAUUCGUAUUUCAUUGUCAGAGGUGAAAUUCUUGGAUUUCUGAAAGACGAACUACUGCGAAAGCAUUUACCAAGGAUGUUUUCAUCG
This 390-nucleotide ribosomal RNA is filed under the name Skeletonema sp. RNAcentral's name for it is "partial small subunit ribosomal RNA". It matches the Rfam family "Eukaryotic small subunit ribosomal RNA", at positions 582 to 975 of the family's 1831-position model. The record is from RNAcentral. Lineage: Eukaryota; Bacillariophyta; Thalassiosirophyceae; Thalassiosirales; Thalassiosiraceae.